GUCAACACAUACUGGAACUCUCUUUGAGGGUGUUGGUGUCGGAAGCGAUUCCCCUAGUCAGUGAACAGGAUAAUCCAAGAUAAAGACCAGACCAGAUUUUUUAUUUGUUAAAAGCACCUUUAAGGUGCUUUUUUCAU
Molecule: small RNA, 137 nt
Filed under: Vibrio chagasii
Lineage: Bacteria; Pseudomonadati; Pseudomonadota; Gammaproteobacteria; Vibrionales; Vibrionaceae
Description: sraL
Rfam family: sraL Hfq binding RNA
About the family: The SraL RNA ('sra' for small RNA), discovered in E. coli, and later in Salmonella Tiphimurium.
Source: RNAcentral